UUUCCGUAGGUGAACCUGCGGAAGGAUCAUUAUUGUGUAACCGAGGUGCGAGGGCUGUCGCUGACCCGAAAGGUCGUGCACGCCCGAGUGCCCUCACACACAUCCAUCUCACCCCUAUGUGCACCACCGCGUGGGUCCCCCUUUGGCUUGUUCGGAGGGGGGCUUACGUUUUCACACAAACUCUGUAUGCAGUGUAGAAUGUAUUUUUUGUUUUUGCGAUCACGCAAUCAAUACAACUUUCAACAACGGAUCUCUUGGCUCUC
Molecule: unclassified non-coding RNA, 263 nt
Filed under: plant metagenome
Description: partial contains small subunit ribosomal RNA, internal transcribed spacer 1, and 5.8S ribosomal RNA
Source: RNAcentral